This 1372-nucleotide ribosomal RNA is filed under the name uncultured bacterium. RNAcentral's name for it is "partial 16S ribosomal RNA". It matches the Rfam family "Bacterial small subunit ribosomal RNA". The record is from RNAcentral.
GAGUUUGAUCCUGGCUCAGGAUGAACGCUGGCGGCGUGCGUAACACAUGCAAGUUGUACGACGGUGCCAUGAAGUGGAGACACGGAGUGGUAUACGGAGUAGCGGACGGGUGAGUAAAGCAUGAGGAGCUGUCCUGUCGAGGGGGAUAACGUUCGGAAACGGACCCUAAUACCCCAUAGUCCGAGAGGUUAAAGGCAGAGAUGCGCGACGGGAGGUACUCGUGUCCUAUCAGCUAGUUGGUGAGGUAACGGCUCACCAAGGCGACGACGGGUAGCCGGCCUGAGAGGGUGACCGGCCACACUGGAACUGAGAUACGGUCCAGACUCCUACGGGAGGCAGCAGUGGGGAAUAUUGGGCAAUGGGAGGAAUCCUGACCCAGCGACGCCGCGUGAGCGAAGACGGCCUUCGGGUUGUAAAGUUCUUUUAUGUGGGAAGAAGGAAGUGACGGUACCACAUGAAUAAGCCCCGGCUAACUACGUGCCAGCAGCCGCGGUAAUACGUAGGGGGCGAGCGUUGUCCGGAAUUACUGGGCGUAAAGGGCACGCAGGCUGUGCUUCAAGUCAGCUGUAAAAGGAUGCGGCUUAACCGUGUUAUGCAGUUGAGACUGAGGUGCUGGAGUACCGGAGAGGCAAGUGGAAUUCCCAGUGUAGCGGUGAAAUGCGUAGAUAUUGGGAAGAACAUCGGUGGCGAAGGCGACUUGCUGGACGGUAACUGACGCUGAGGUGCGAAAGCCAGGGUAGCGAACGGGAUUAGAUACCCCGGUAGUCCUGGCUGUAAACGAUGAAUGCUAGGUGUGCGAGCAGAGAUGUUGGUGUGCCGCAGUUAACGCGAUAAGCAAUCCGCCUGGGGAGUACGUACGCAAGUAUGAAACUCAAAGGAAUUGACGGGGACCCGCACAAGCGGUGGAGCAUGUGGUUUAAUUCGACGCAACGCGAGGAACCUUACCAGCGUUUGACAUCUUAGGAGUGAGAUAGAGAUAUUUCAGUGUCCCUUCGGGGAAACCUAAAGACAGGUGGUGCAUGGCUGUCGUCAGCUCGUGUCGUGAGAUGUUGGGUUAAGUCCCGCAACGAGCGCAACCCCUUUCGUAUGUUACCAUCAUUAAGUUGGGGACUCAUGCGAUACUGCCUACGAUGAGUAGGAGGAAGGUGGGGAUGACGUCAAGUCAUCAUGCCCCUUAUACGCUGGGCUACACACGUGCUACAAUGGGUAGAACAGAGAGUUGCAAAGCUGUGAAGUGGAGCUAAUCUCAGAAAACUAUUCUUAGUUCGGAUUGUACUCUGCAACUCGAGUACAUGAAGUUGGAAUCGCUAGUAAUCGCGAAUCAGCAAUGUCGCGGUGAAUACGUUCUCGGGUCUUGUACACACCGCCCGUC